GAAGGUAUAGCUCAGUGGUAGAGCGUGUGCUUAGCAUGCAUGAGGUCCUAGGUUCAGUCCUCAGUACCGCCA
This 72-nucleotide transfer RNA is filed under the name Camelus bactrianus (Bactrian camel). It matches the Rfam family "tRNA". From Rfam's summary of the family: Transfer RNA (tRNA) molecules are approximately 80 nucleotides in length. Their secondary structure includes four short double-helical elements and three loops (D, anti-codon, and T loops). RNAcentral also lists the same sequence under 1 other name. Lineage: Eukaryota; Metazoa; Chordata; Mammalia; Artiodactyla; Camelidae. The record is from Rfam by way of RNAcentral.